Molecule: long non-coding RNA, 468 nt
Organism: Prunus persica (peach)
Lineage: Eukaryota; Viridiplantae; Streptophyta; Magnoliopsida; Rosales; Rosaceae
Exons: 2
Source: RefSeq, a predicted model, not a curated record
CAUAAACAUCUCCGUCGAGUUAGCCAUUUUGUCCUUCUAGGGCUAAGAAUUUUGAAGGUAAGACUACUACCAUGUUAACAUCUAUCUUAUUUGGUAUUGAUGGUCCUUCUCCCUCAGCCUCAUUUUCUUCGGCGAGGUCUUCCUCUGGCUCGGGCCCCACAAAGUCCUCGUCACCCAAUUCUCCAUAUGCCAAUUCUUCGGUCAGAUCCUCCUCGGUGGCACCAACCAUCAUGGCCGAAUCCUUUUUGGCCAAACAUUUCCCAUUUUGGUGGGAUCGGAGUUGGCCAAGAGACUGGUGUGUUUGUUUGUGAGCGUGCUACUAUUGGCAGUGAAAACGCACUCCAACAGACUGAGAUUGUAUAAUGUGUAACUGGAAAAUGAAGUUGUAGAGAAAGAGUAAUAGGGUUUACCCCACUGGGACAAGUCACAAAUCAAUAAUCUAGGCUGAAACCCAUGCCUUUUGUGGUA